UCCAGUAUCCAUAUCACCAAGACUGGUUGCUCAUAGAAGCUAAGCAGGGCUGAGCCUGGUCAGUACCUAGAUGGGAGACCACAUGGGAAAACUAGGUUGCUGUUGGAA
Molecule: ribosomal RNA, 108 nt
Filed under: Danio rerio (zebrafish)
Lineage: Eukaryota; Metazoa; Chordata; Actinopteri; Cypriniformes; Danionidae
Source: RNAcentral